Molecule: ribosomal RNA, 651 nt
Filed under: uncultured bacterium
Lineage: Bacteria
Description: bacterial SSU rRNA
Rfam family: Bacterial small subunit ribosomal RNA
Source: RNAcentral
UAAAGUGGCGCACGGGGUGAGGAACGCGUAGGUAAUCUACCCUCUGGCGGGGGACAACACCUCCGAAAGGAAUGCUAAUACCGCGUAAGACCACACUCACUACGGUGAGAGCGGUUAAAGGUGCCUCAAAGCACCACCAGAGGAUGAGCCUGCGUCCCAUCAGCUUGUUGGUAAGGUAACGGCUUACCAAGGCGAAGACGGGUAGCUGGUCUGAGAGGAUGAUCAGCCACACUGGUACUGGAACACGGACCAGACUCCUACGGGAGGCAGCAGUGAGGAAUAUUGGGCAAUGGGCGCAAGCCUGACCCAGCCACGCCGCGUGUGUGAUGAAGGCCUUCGGGUCGUAAAGCACUGUGGGGAGAGACGAAACAGCGCAUCAGGAAAUGGUUGCGCCUUGACGGUACCUCCUUAGCAAGCACCGGCUAACUCUGUGCCAGCAGCCGCGGUAACACAGAGGGUGCAAACGUUGCUCGGAUUUACUGGGCGUAAAGCGCGUGUAGGCGGACUCGCAAGUCGGUUGUGAAAUCCCUGGGCUCAACCUAGGAACUGCAUCCGAAACUGCUUGUCUUGAGUAAUGGAGAGGGUGGCGGAAUUCCCGGUGUAGAGGUGAAAUUCGUAGAUAUCGGGAGGAACAUCAGUGGCGAAGGCGGC